Molecule: ribosomal RNA, 253 nt
Filed under: uncultured bacterium
Lineage: Bacteria
Description: partial 16S ribosomal RNA
Rfam family: Bacterial small subunit ribosomal RNA
Source: RNAcentral
UACGUAGGUGGCAAGCGUUAUCCGGAUUUACUGGGUGUAAAGGGCGUGUAGGCGGGAAAGCAAGUCAGAUGUGAAAACCACGGGCUCAACCUGUGGCCUGCAUUUGAAACUGUUUUUCUUGAGUACUGGAGAGGCAGACGGAAUUCCUCGUGUAGCGGUGAAAUGCGUAGAUAUGAGGAGGAACACCAGUGGCGAAGGCGGUCUGCUGGACAGCAACUGACGCUGAGGCGCGAAGGCGUGGGGAGCAAACAGG